RNAcentral lists this unclassified non-coding RNA (251 nucleotides) under plant metagenome. RNAcentral describes it as "partial contains small subunit ribosomal RNA, internal transcribed spacer 1, and 5.8S ribosomal RNA". The stretch from base 1 to 54 matches the Rfam family "Eukaryotic small subunit ribosomal RNA", at positions 1778 to 1831 of the family's 1831-position model. The record is from RNAcentral.
GGAAGUAAAAAUCGUAACAAGGUCUCCGUAGGUGAACCUGCGGAGGGAUCAUUACAGAGUUCUCGCCCUCGCGGGUAGAUCUCCCACCCACUGUUAUCGUUACUGUGUUGCUUUGGCGGGCCGCCGGGCCCCGCUCGGCCGCCGGCUCCGGCUGGCGCGCGCCCGCCAGAGGCCCAGCAAACUCUGAAUGUUAGUGUCGUCUGAGUACUAUAUAAUAGUUAAAACUUUCAACAACGGAUCUCUUGGUUCUG